Molecule: ribosomal RNA, 225 nt
Filed under: uncultured prokaryote
Description: partial 16S ribosomal RNA
Rfam family: Bacterial small subunit ribosomal RNA
Source: RNAcentral
UACGUAGGUGGCAAGCGUUGUUCGGAAUUAUUGGGCGUAAAGGGCGCGUAGGCGGCCUGUUAAGUCGGCUGUGAAAGCCCGGGGCUCACCCCCGGAAGUGCAUUGGAAACUGGUGGACUCGAGUCCCGGAGAGGAGGGUGGAGUUCCUGGUGUAGCGGUGAAAUGCGUAGAUAUCAGGAGGAACACCGGUGGCGAAGGCGGCCCUCUGGACGGUGACUGACGCUG